CCACACCCAUGUAGGACAGGUCCGUCUCUCGAAAAGAAGAUUGGCGUCUGCAUCGUGAUGAGACCACAGCUGCUAGUUCACUUCCCUGCCAUAAGAAUAUCCAACUACAGGUAGGACUGAUGCUGGAGUGUUGGUAAAACAGCCGAACAUCCCAAAACAACUAACACGGUCCUCUAUCAACUUAGUGUUGUAGAGCCAAAAUUGUCUAGGACGUGAAUGUUACUCUACACCAAAAGCGAUUAGCAUUUUUCGGGGCCGGGCCAUCAGUUCAAUUGUCGUCAUAUGUGUAAGGUGUUGGCCGUUGGGGCGAAUGGAAUUGUUCGAAGAAUUCCUCAACCCGUCGGAAUGCUGAUGGACAACUUUAUGGCCCGCAAGAAAAAUCAUGACGUGAAGGACUUUUCCCCUCCCCAUUCAGUGAGAUUGACUAUGGUCAUCGGCUGAUCGGCAGCUUACAUCUACGUCUUCUGAGAAUGGGCGCAAUCAUCACAAUCAAACCGCCGGUACGACGGCAAUUGACGUUGCACUACGACGCCAAAUGGUUGGACGUUGCCGUGCGAUCGGUGGAAAUAACGGACCACUUUGUCUUUUUCCGAGAUUCGGUCGUCGGUAUUGCAUUGGCUGCCAAUUUUUUAGCUUUCGUUCUAGAGGAAUUCAACUGUAUUCAGUGACGACAUUCCGAAAUGGAAAGAUAACGGGUCGUGUCAAUGCAUUACUGACCAACGUUCUGCCACAUGCUGUGCCGAUCGCAUUUCUUUGAGUCAUCAC
This is a long non-coding RNA of Daphnia pulicaria, 765 nucleotides long. RefSeq lists it as uncharacterized. NCBI's taxonomy places the organism in Eukaryota, Metazoa, Arthropoda, Branchiopoda, Diplostraca, Daphniidae. The transcript is spliced from 6 exons. The record is from RefSeq and is a predicted model, not a curated record.